Molecule: long non-coding RNA, 2065 nt
Organism: Mercenaria mercenaria
Lineage: Eukaryota; Metazoa; Mollusca; Bivalvia; Venerida; Veneridae
Exons: 3
Source: RefSeq, a predicted model, not a curated record
GCUUGUUUUUUUUUCACUGAACUUUUUAUAAACCCCUGAAUGGGAUUGAAAAUACUGCAUUGGUUUAUAAUAAAGAUGCUGUAUAAUAAGCACUGUAAAUCAGAAUUCAAUUUAAUUUUGAUAAAGGCAAGUUUUUGUCAAGCAGUAUCUAUAAGAAAUGAUGGACAUUUUUGGUCAGUGUUGAUUCACCCUAUUGAUCAGGAUUUUGAUACAUUUCUCAUAAACUGUUCUUGUUUUAAGGCUCUCAGAUUUUCUACCUAGUGAAUGAAAAGUACAGUACUGCUGUUGGAAGAGGAGUAUCAUGGCUAUGGAUAAAAGAAGGUUUCAUUACAUAUGGACAAUUAUAUUGGACAGAAUAAGAAAAGUAUUCUAAUAAGUUCUGGAAUGUGGCUUGUUAUGAUGGGUCUACAUGAUUGACUUGGAGUACAACCUGAUGGAGGCCUGGCUUGCAGAAUUCAGUCCUGAACAUGUUUAGAAUGUCUUCUGCAUGACUUGGUGUAGUAUUCUUGAAGGAUUAUAACUUCAACACAGAGACAGAGAUUAAUAUUUUAGGCAGGUGAUUGGCAUGACGCAAAUUCUCCAACCGUAUUGCCAUUCCUGAGCUGGAUGCCAGUCGACAGUUGUACCUGUAUAAUGAAAUAGCGCCCCUUUGCAGCAACAACAAUGUAUGCUCAAAAUUAGCAGUGCCAAAGCCAUUAAAAUUGAGAAUUCAGUCAUUUAAAACAAAAUUAAUGGAAAAAAGUGUUUAACAUUUAAAGUAAUACAGAGAAAGAGCUCAGCUCAUUUGGUACUUUCUGAAAUUUUAAUUAAUUUGAAAGUGUUUUUGAAUUUUUAAAGGUGUACUAGAUCAAAAUUCCAUAAAUAUGAAUAUGAACAAAUGCUACAUUAUGGUGUCAGCAGUAGUAUGCAUUGGUUAAAUAUAGACACACUGUAUGUAUGUAAGGCUGAGCACAGUAUAAAUGUGAAAUUCCUAAAAGACACUGGAAGAAUUUUCAACAAUCUACAGUUUAGUACUGCAUGAGAUAAAAUUAUGAAUGGUGCUCUACAUACACAUGAUUUAUACAUUAAGCAAAGUUAAAUAUAUUUAUUGAUCAUCUUGAUGAUUUUCUACAUUUUAAGUAAUUACCUAAAUGUUAAAUAUUUUAGUGAAGAUAUAUUUUAUGCAACUAUAUUAGUUGAAAAAAGCUACCAUCCAGGAAGAAUAUUUUGAAAUGAUACUUUUACUUGAAAAUUUAUGUGAAAAAUGAAUGAAAUAGAUGUUAAAAUGAAUUCUUUAUUUUAUAAAAAAAUGUUGUUGCCAUGGAAACAGAACUUGAGUAUUAAGUUUAUUUGCUUUCAUACCAGAGUUAUAUGACUUUUAAUUAUAAUAAUGUUAACAAUUUAAUGUUAUAUAAUCAUCACUCAUCUGAUACUUUUGAUUUUCAAUUUACAGUCAUUGAGCAAUGCAUCUUAAGUACAUUUGAAGUUGAAUGACACAUUACAAAUAUUAGAUAUGUAUGGAAUUGCUUUCAGAUAGUUUUGAGAUGAAUAUAAAUCAGAAAAUUCACAAAUUCUAGUUCUUCUAGAGAACUAAUAUACAUUUUAUAAAUUUACAUUUUUUGUAUCAAAUGUAGACUAAAAUGUCUGUUAAAUUGACAUUUAAAGCAAUUCUUGUAUUUUGUUGCUAUGGAAACAUGAAUUGUGACAAUUUUUUAAUAUAAAAUAGCAUAUUUAUAGCAAGAAGUCAUUAUCAACUGUGCUAAUCAUGUUAAAUUCUUUUGAUAUUGAUGGAAAAAUAUGAAAUUAAAAUAUAUGAUAAAAGUAAAUGAUUUUAUUAUUUGUCAUUAUUAUUAAACAAAAAAUGCAAGAUUGCGAUGGGGAGUUAUUGUACAAAAAAUGCUAUAAUUUUGUUAUUUUAAAAGAUGCAGGUCUAAAAUUUUUAAUUUAUGUUAAGGACACAUGUACAGUUCAGAAUAUGUGAAAAACUCGGUUUCCAUAAAAAUGUCAUUUGGGACCAUUUUGUCAUGGCUUGUCACAUAUAUGUACUGUUGCUGAACAAUACGGAUAAUAAAGCGGGAAAAAAGAU